CUCAUUCAUACUUGUUUACCUCUUUGGGUGGGUUUAGUGACAUCUCUGAACUGUCAAAGGGACUGGGUCUUGAUACAGUAUCCACAGUCAGCGUCUAUCUUCAUGAGCUCUGGGAACCGAAGUGAUGCAGAACAUUUUUUGAUGUGUGUAAAAAAAAUCAGCAACAUUUAUAAAUAUAAAACCAGAAGCAAAAGUGACUUGCACUGUUCAUCACCCAGCUUUAGUGUAGCACAAAAAAGAUUGUGGACCUGUGAAUCCUGAAGGGGCAGACAGAGCAACUCGACAAGUUUGUGGUGUGCAGAUUUGAUACGCCAAGUGGCCGUAGUGGAGCUGCAGUAAAUUGUUUUAGCAAAAUGGAGGAUAUGAAGAAGCGUGCACAAGUGGUCUGGUGGUAUGCAGAGACAAAAUCGGUGACCCAAGUUGCAAAGAAACUUUCGUCGAGUUUACAACAAAGGGCCCCCGUUGUUGAAGACUAUAAAGAAGUGGUGUGAUCAGUUUUUGGCUACUGGGAGUGUUGCAAAAGGGCGUGGUGGUGGUAAGCCUGGGAUCAGCGUUCAUCAUGUGGAACAAGUGCGGCGGUCACUCCAAAAGUUAAUGUGUGGUGUGGUUUGAUGAUAAAUCACAUUGUUGGGCCGUUUCUCUUUCAGGAGCCGACUGUGGAUGGAGCCUUCUACUUGGACAUGUUGGAACAUUUUGCCGUGCCACGGAUUACAGACCUGCAGCCAAAUAUGAUGUUUCAACAGGACGGUGCACCACCCCAUUCAAGCCUUGAUGUCCGAAAAUUUUUAAAUGACACAUUCCCACAACGAUGGAUUGGCCGCGGAGGUCCAACUCCUUGGUCGCCACGUUCGCCCGACAUAACCCUUCUCAAUUUUUUCUUGUGGGGUUAUGUGAAAGACCGGGUACACACUACACCAGUAAAGGACCUGCAAGACUUGAAACAGCGCAUAAGAAUUGUCAUCAACUCUGUCACAGAACAGAUGCUCCGCAACACAUGGCACGAAAUCGAUUAUAGACAUGAUAUUCUUCGCGCUACCCGUGGCGCCCAUGUUCAAUUGUACUGAACCGUCCACCUGUGUAUGAAAACUUGAUGAGCUGCUGUAUGAUUUCCCUGUAUCUGUUCGUCAAUAAAUUGUGUUUUUACUCUGA
Schistocerca cancellata (South American locust) is the source of this 1149-nucleotide long non-coding RNA. RefSeq lists it as uncharacterized. NCBI's taxonomy places the organism in Eukaryota, Metazoa, Arthropoda, Insecta, Orthoptera, Acrididae. The transcript has 2 exons. The record is from RefSeq and is a predicted model, not a curated record.